Oncorhynchus tshawytscha (Chinook salmon) is the source of this 564-nucleotide long non-coding RNA. NCBI's taxonomy places the organism in Eukaryota, Metazoa, Chordata, Actinopteri, Salmoniformes, Salmonidae. The record is from Ensembl.
GGUUUAGUGGAGGUUUGGUGGAGAUUUAGUGGAGGUUUAGUGGAGGUUUAGUGGAGGUUUAGUGGAGGUUUAGUGGAGAUUUAGUGGAGGUUUAGUGGAGGUUUAGUGGAGGUUUAGUGGAGAUUUAGUGGAGGUUUAGUGGAGGGUCAGUGGAGGUUUAGUGGAGGUUUAGUGGACGUUUAGUGGAGGUUGAAAGACAGUGGAGGUUUAGUGGAGGUUUAGUGGAGGUUUAGUGGAGAUUGAAAGACUGUGGAGGUUUAGUGGAGGUUUAGUGGAGGUUUAGUGGAGGUUUAGUGGAGAUUUAGUGGAGGUUUAGUGGAGGUUUAGUGGAGGUUUAGUGGAGGUUUAGUGGAGAUUGAAAGACAGUGGAGGUUUAGUGGAGGUUUAGUGGAGGUUUAGUGGAGGUUUAGUGGAGAUUUAGUGGAGGUUUAGUGGAGGUUUAGUGGAGAUUGAAAGACAGUGGAGGUUUAGUGGAGGUUUAGUGGAGGUUUAGUGGAGAUUUAGUGGAGGUUUAGUGGAGGUUUAGUGGAGGUUUAGUGUAGAUUUAGUGGAGGUUUAGUGGAG